AACAAGACUAAGCCACAGGAAAAGUUUUCAUCUUUUUGGCUGUUUGAACUCUGAAGGGCCAGAGCUUCACAGGAGCUGCCUCCUCAGGCUGCCCUGAGAGCACUUUGAAUGGACAGGUCACUACAACUCUGUCACUCUUAGGAUUUAGAUGACCAGCAGAAACAAGAAGCAAGGAGCAGAGCAGCUGGACAUCCCAAUAAGCUCUUAGAAAGCUGGAGGCUUCCUGUUUUCUCAUGGUGAUUUUGAAGGGAGGAGGUCGCAGGCUUCAGAAUCCAGUUGGGGAACAAGAGGAUUGUGUGGUGGAAGAAAGUAUCACUAGACUUGUGUGUGGAAGAGGGCAGCUGAGUGAAUGUCCACAUACAAAUCACAAUUGUCAUAAAGCUGUGACACUUUGGAGUUGUUGGGGAAAUAUCUCUAUGGAGAGACCUGACACAAGGAGUUAAUGUGGUGGUUCCUGCAAAAAAAACAUCCGGACAACAACAGGACUUAUUUUUUUUGCUUUAAUUGGUCCUCUACAAUAGGGAAUUCUGGGAAAUAUUCUUCCUUUGUAGAAUGUGAUUGACUCAUCUUUGCAUGGCCCUGUCUUGAUUGUUGAAUAGGGAGAAGUUAUCUCAAUAGGCCCUGAACUACAUUUUAUAAGUGUUUAUUUUAUUGUUUUUCUGUUGCUCGAGUAGUGAUUCUGUUUAUGCUCUUUUCUUCUACAGUAAUAAAAAAAGACUGAUAUUUACACUUG
Molecule: long non-coding RNA, 733 nt
Organism: Dermochelys coriacea (leatherback sea turtle)
Lineage: Eukaryota; Metazoa; Chordata; Testudines; Dermochelyidae
Exons: 4
Source: RefSeq, a predicted model, not a curated record